RNAcentral lists this ribosomal RNA (265 nucleotides) under Gallus gallus (chicken). RNAcentral's name for it is "partial 12S ribosomal RNA". The record is from RNAcentral. Lineage: Eukaryota; Metazoa; Chordata; Aves; Galliformes; Phasianidae.
GUCGUAAUCNGAUACCUCCCAUCACACAUGUAUCCGCCUGAGAACUACGAGCACAAACGCUUAAAACUCUAAGGACUUGGCGGUGCCCCAAACCCACCUAGAGGAGCCUGUUCUAUAAUCGAUAAUCCACGAUUCACCCAACCACCCCUUGCCAGCACAGCCUACAUACCGCCGUCGCCAGCCCACCUCUAAUGAAAGAACAACAGUGAGCUCAAUAGCCCCUCGCUAAUAAGACAGGUCAAGGUAUAGCCUAUGGGGUGGGAGA